RNAcentral lists this ribosomal RNA (249 nucleotides) under uncultured bacterium. Its description in RNAcentral is "partial 16S ribosomal RNA". It matches the Rfam family "Bacterial small subunit ribosomal RNA", at positions 1251 to 1500 of the family's 1533-position model. The record is from RNAcentral.
AAAUAAGUGAUAUAGAGCAAAACCCUAAAAACGGUACUCAGUUCGGAUUGAAGGCUGAAAUUCGCCUUCAUGAAGCUGGAAUUGCUAGUAAUGGCAGGUCAGCAUACUGCCGUGAAUACGUUCCCGGGCCUUGUACACACCGCCCGUCACACCAUGAGAGUUGGGAAUACCCGAAGCCUGUGAGCUAACUUUUAGAGGCAGCAGUCGAAGGUAGAAUCAAUGAUUGGGGUGAAGUCGUAACAAGGUACC